AUACGGAAGGUCCGGGCGUUAUCCGGAUUUAUUGGGUUUAAAGGGAGCGCAGGCGGAGAUGCAAGCGUGACGUCAAAUUUCGGGGCUCAACCCCGUCUCGCGUCGCGAACUGCGUCCCUUGGUUGCGGGAAGGGGAGGCGGCACUCGGGGGGUAGCGGUGAAAUGCAUAGAUAUCACGAAGAACUCCGAUCGCGAAGGCAGCCUUCCGGCCCGUCAACGACGCUCAUGCUCGAAGGUGCGGGUAUCAAACAGGAUUAGAUACCCUGGUAGUCCGCACAGUAAACGAUGGACACCCGCGGUUUGGCCUGUAUGGCUGAGCCGCCAAGCGAAAGCGUUAAGUGUCCCACCUGGGGAGUACGCCGGCAACGGUGAAACUUAAAGGAAUUGACGGGG
RNAcentral lists this ribosomal RNA (393 nucleotides) under uncultured bacterium. RNAcentral describes it as "partial 16S ribosomal RNA". It matches the Rfam family "Bacterial small subunit ribosomal RNA", at positions 523 to 918 of the family's 1533-position model. The record is from RNAcentral.